CCUACGGGAGGCAGCAGUGGGGAAUUUUCCGCAAUGGGCGAAAGCCUGACGGAGUGACGCCGCGUGGGGGACGAAGGCCUUCGGGUCGUAAACCCCUGUCAGAGGGAAAGAAGGGUGUUGCCGCGAAUACCGCCGGCAUCUGACGGUACCUUCAGAGGAAGCCCCGGCCAACUCUGUGCCAGCAGCCGCGGUAAGACAGAGGGGGCAAGCGUUGCUCGGAAUCACUGGGCGUAAAGGGCGCGUAGGCGGGAUGGCAAGUCGGUCGUGAAAUCCUUCGGCUCAACCGAGGAACGUCGGCCGAUACUGCCGUUCUUGAGGGAGGCAGAGGAGAGUGGAAUUCCCGGUGUAGCGGUGAAAUGUGUAGAGAUCGGGAGGAACACCGGUGGCGAAGGCGGGUCUCUGGGCAAAACCAAACACUAAAAAGGGAAAGCGUGGGGAGCAAACGGGGGGAGGUACCCCCGGGGGGCGCCCCAAAAACCG
This 480-nucleotide ribosomal RNA is filed under the name uncultured Actinomycetes bacterium. Its description in RNAcentral is "bacterial SSU rRNA". It matches the Rfam family "Bacterial small subunit ribosomal RNA", at positions 338 to 809 of the family's 1533-position model. The record is from RNAcentral. Lineage: Bacteria; Bacillati; Actinomycetota; Actinomycetes.